AACGAACGCUGGCGGCAUGCCUAACACAUGCAAGUCGAACGAGACCUUCGGGUCUGGUUGCGCACGGGUGCGUAACGCGUGGGAACCUUCCCUUAGGUUCGGAAUACCUCCCCGAAAGGGGUGCUAAUACCGGAUAAUGUCUUCUGACCAAAGAUUUAUCGCCUUUGGAUGGGCCCGCGUUGGAUUAGCUAGUUGGUAGGGUAAAAGCCUACCAAGGCGACGAUCCAUAGCUGGUCUGAGAGGAUGAGCAGCCACACUGGGACUGAGACACGGCCCAGACUCUUACGGGAAGCAGCAGUGGGGAAUAUUGGAAAACGGGGGGAAGCAUGAUCCAGCAAUGCCGGGUGAGUGAUGAAGGCCUUAGGGUUGUAAAGCUCUUUUAUCCGGGAUGAUAAUGACAGUACCGGGAGAAUAAGCUCCGGCUAACUCCGUG
Molecule: ribosomal RNA, 433 nt
Filed under: uncultured bacterium
Lineage: Bacteria
Description: partial 16S ribosomal RNA
Rfam family: Bacterial small subunit ribosomal RNA
Source: RNAcentral